GUGUCAGCCGCCGCGGUAAUACGUAGGUGGCGAGCGUUAUCCGGAUUUACUGGGCGUAAAGUGAGCGCAGACGGUUCUUCAAGUCAGUUGUUAAAUCUCUCGGCCUAACCGGGUGAGCGCAUCUGAUACUGUUGAACUAGAGGACAACAGAGGGAGGUAGAAUUCCCGGUGUAGUGGUGGAAUGCGUAGAUAUCGGGAGGAAUACCAGUGGCGAAGGCGGCCUCCUGGGUUGUUUCUGACGUUCAUGCUCGAAGGUGUGGGGAGCGAACAGGAUUAGAAACCCCCGUAGUCC
This 292-nucleotide ribosomal RNA is filed under the name uncultured bacterium. Its description in RNAcentral is "partial 16S ribosomal RNA". It matches the Rfam family "Bacterial small subunit ribosomal RNA", at positions 505 to 796 of the family's 1533-position model. The record is from RNAcentral.